GGACCCUUAGCUCAGCGGUAGAGCAUCUGAUUCCAGUGCUAUUCAUGUAACUGAAAUGUUACUGGAGCAUCCAGAAGGUCGUCCGUUCAAUCCGGGCAGGGUUCA
This is a transfer RNA of Daedalea quercina L-15889, 105 nucleotides long. It matches the Rfam family "tRNA". Rfam says of the family: Transfer RNA (tRNA) molecules are approximately 80 nucleotides in length. Their secondary structure includes four short double-helical elements and three loops (D, anti-codon, and T loops). The record is from Rfam. NCBI's taxonomy places the organism in Eukaryota, Fungi, Basidiomycota, Agaricomycetes, Polyporales, Fomitopsidaceae.